CAGCUCGAGCUCUGGACGGGGCCACACCUGCACACCUGUCCCCCCUAGCUAUGAGGACCUACCUGUCUUGCCUGCUGCCUCUGCUGCUGGUGUGCUCAGGUGAUUUCUCGCCCCAGGAAAGCAGAGACAACUCCUUUAUCUGAGCCUGUGUGUGCUCCACGGAGCGUAGCACUGGAAAGGACUGGUGUCCUCACAGCCCAGGCCCUGAGCUGCCAUGAGUGCUCUGCCACAGGGAACUGUUUCCAGCCCACAGUCUGCCGAGAUGGCUCCCGCUACUGCCUGACCACCUGGACCAAUCAUGAAACGAUUGUUAUAAAAUCAUGUGCUUACACCUGCCCUGGCUACCAAGAGAGCCUGGCUGCCUCCAGGGCCCUUUGCUGCAACACGGAUCUCUGCAACAGCACAGUGAGCCUCAGAGUCAGCUGGGGGCUGCUGGUGCUCAGCAUCUGCCUUGCCUGCCUCAACAGAUAGCAGUGGGCUCAGCCCUGGGAAUGCUCAAGAAGGGAUUGGGAGUCUGCCGCGGACUUGCUUUGCGACCUUAGGCAGGGCACUUGCCAUUUCUGGGCCGCACCUUCAACUGGAAGGAUUCCAGGAGCGAAUGGACAUGCGUGUAGGCUUUGCAGGGGACAGUGGGGCUGCAUCUGCUCACGGCCUUUGCCGCUGUCCAGGGUGCUGCAUGGUGAUUGCUGCCGGGAGAGGUGGCCACCUGCUGGCCUCUCCGGGAUAGCGCAGUUAGGUGGCCACAGCUGUAAACCUGUUAAGGACGCCAGGUGCCAAGUCAGGCACCUCUGGUCGCCCAGACAGUUGCCUUCCAGCCUUCAUCUUCACCUGCAUUCUAAGGCUGGGUCCUCCUGAGAACCUGGGAUCAUGCCGACAUGUGUUGCUCUAAGUUGGGUCCCAAGACUGUGGGCAAAUAGAAACCCUGUGGCGGGCCCUCCUGGUCUGUGUGCAGGGGAGGAGCAGCUGCCCACAUGGGGACAGGGGCACCCCAGCACCGUGUGGGUGAGCCCUGGUGGCAGCAGGGCUGAUGUGGGAAAUGCCAGGCUGCUGAGCACCCCCAGCUCCCCCAGGACAUGGUGUCCCCAGGGUCUGCACCCUGGGGGAUGCCCUCCUGGAGGCAGAUGCACUAACCCCAAACAGAAUCUCAGCUCCUAUGAACUCCAGUCCACUCUGGACUUGCAGAGCACUGCAGAACAGGAAGACCAAGGGCCAGGCUUUGUCCAGCUGGGAGGCUGGGCACUACUCCCCAAUGACCCCCACCACUGCCUGCAAGCCCAAGCCUCUGGUCUCAGUCAGUGUGUUAAUUUGCACAUCCUUUAAUUAAAAAAAACUCACGAGAGUCGUCACUGCCUGUUCCUUGAGUGUGUUAAUUGGCUUUCUCCUUAGAGACCCGAAACCCUAAGACAGCGCACCCCCACCCCCAGGCUCUUCCGUGGAGCCCCCCAGACAGGCAUUUGUGAACAGAGAAGACUUCACCGAAGCUUCCCUGGAGGGCUUUCCCAUACCCUCUCUCCCAGAGGAGGAGCACACAGGUGGCUUCCCCAGUGUUUCC
This is an RNA transcript of Callithrix jacchus (white-tufted-ear marmoset), 1552 nucleotides long. It is a transcript of the gene named lymphocyte antigen 6D-like, with no coding region annotated. The record is from RefSeq and is a predicted model, not a curated record. Lineage: Eukaryota; Metazoa; Chordata; Mammalia; Primates; Cebidae.